GGAAAGAUGCUCGAGUGGUUGAAGAGGCACGCCUGGAAAGCGUGUAUACCCCCUAAAGGGUAUCGGGGGUUCGAAUCCCUCUCUCUCCG
RNAcentral lists this transfer RNA (89 nucleotides) under Prevotella jejuni. RNAcentral's name for it is "tRNA-Ser". It matches the Rfam family "tRNA". Rfam says of the family: Transfer RNA (tRNA) molecules are approximately 80 nucleotides in length. Lineage: Bacteria; Pseudomonadati; Bacteroidota; Bacteroidia; Bacteroidales; Prevotellaceae. The record is from RNAcentral.